Schistosoma mattheei is the source of this 45-nucleotide non-coding RNA. The record is from Rfam. NCBI's taxonomy places the organism in Eukaryota, Metazoa, Platyhelminthes, Trematoda, Strigeidida, Schistosomatidae.
AUUUAGCUAACGAGUCCAAAAUAGGACAAAAUGCGUGUCCUGGAU